AACCAGAGGGCAGACACCAUCAUCAAUUUUUGUCAUUAGAACCACAUGAGGGAUGCCUGGGGUUUACAGAUAAGUUAAAGAAAGCUGUCAGAGUGCACAGAGGAUACAGAGACACUAGUCAGAGAAGAGGUGAGAUUAAUCCUGACACACAAGGGAGAUCAGUGAUGAGUGGCAGGAUGUGGGCGGAGACAAGACAUAAAUAAAAACAAAACACAUGUAGAAACAUGAAAACAUGGAACAGAAGUGGGUUAACAAGUGUGUGUUGUGCUGUGGGCUGCUGCGCAACUCGGCUUGCAUCGCUUUGUGUAAAGGAAAGCCUUCUUUGACACGGCCAUGCAGCACAUUAAUGAUGUCAUCAGGAUGAAUUCCGUCUUCCUUAUUAUCUCCCAGACCCAUAACAUCACUGAAGACAAACGGCAAGCUCUCUCCAGCAGAUGUCCCCUCCGCUGCCCCGAAUGCAAUACUGCCCUUGUAUGCACUCAUCACUGAGUUUACAAAGCAGGACUUCCCAGCUCCGACUGGUCCAUGAAGCAGUAUUCUGAACUGCCUGAUGUCUUGGUGGUUUUCCAUAAAUUUAAGAAGAAGUUCACUGAACUCAGAUUUCAGAUUGUUUGGGCUGUUUGUGAUAAACACAUUAAGAGUUUAUCUUUCUCAUUUGAUAUUUAAAUUACACACAGAUCACUGCUACUGAAAUAAUGAUGUGACUUCUGACCAAACUAAUUUAGUUUCACAACAACAAGGAUGAUGUAUAUAAUCAAACUCUUUAUUUAAGUUUUAUAUAUUUUCGAGAAUUGUGGAAAUUUGUAAUGUUAUUUUAUUUUUUUCUAGAUACAUGGAAUAUAAAGCCUGAAUUCUGUAAAACAAAACAUUACUAAAUUGAUCACUCACUUCCAGUCAGGGUUUCUCCAAAGUUGCUCGAAGUCUGUACACAAAAAGAUAAUAGAGAACUUUGAGUAAAAACAGAAACUUUUUUUAAUUGAUUUCUUUCUUCUAUUUUUGUUUCAACAAAGUGAUCUAACCUUCUCGAGAUUCUGGUUUUGAUUUCGUUCUAAACAUUUUUGGCAGAUUUCCUCCUCUGAAGCUGAUCUUAUUUUUUAAAAUAAGACGCUCAAUAUUGUUUAACGGUUAACUGAAGCCGUUUUUCGUUUCAUCCCGUUCCCAUAUAUGGGGCACUAAAUUCUUUCCAUUAAAAUAAAAAGAGCUAUUGGUUUUUAGUGAGAAAAUAAAAGUUCUCCAUGUAUAAUCCUGCAGUUUAUUUUUUAUUAGUGUUUAAAGUCGCCAAUAGUUCCUUCAUCGCGUAAUCAUAUUUUGAUCAUGAGUGAUUCGGCUUCGCGUCACGUGUAGGAAGCACAACCAAUAAGGUGGCCGCAUUUUGGACCUACGAAUCCAAGAUGUCUGCGCCCUUGAUGUCAACAUCGAGUAGCGAAGAAGAGGAAAUUACAGUCAGACCUCAUUCUAAACUCCGUAAAAAGGAUUAUAAACAAUGCUAUAUGCAUCUCGCGUUCAUAAAGAAAGAAGAAACGAAGGAUUUUACACACACACGAUGGGAUACUGUAGUGGAAAUUUCCACUUUAGAGAUGUUCAUAAAACCUGUCCUAUGCUUCUAUAUUUCUCAUGGCUGGUAGUUAUUGUGACUAGAGAUUGCAGUUGUUUUCCUAAAACAGAUUCCAGCAGGCCUCAUUCCCCCAACUGAUAUGAGUGAGGGGGCAGUGAGCACACUUGAGAAACAGUUUCAUGAAUGGACUGAUCACAGGAAUAUCUGACAAGGUGAAAAACCUAUGCAUCACGUGAGACACUGGAAAGCUGAGCCUCAUCAUACAACAUGCUCUGCAUGCGGAAAAGCUGCUCACGCAAAGUAAGAAGGAGCAGGAAAAAAAAAAGAGAGAAGCGUGAACACACGCAGUUCAGCUGACAAUGAUGCAAGCCGUGGUGAGGUCUCAAACACAAAGAGGAAGAGCGGGAGAGAGUGGAUGUUUUAUUUGCGGAGGACAAGAUCACUGGGCAAGGGAAUUCCCUAAGAAACACGACAAUGAAAGUGCAUGACCAUCGACAUCUCAGGUUGAGGAGGUCAGUCCUGAAGGGAUGGGUGAGUCAAAAUCUUUGAUGCUAUGCAAUGAGGAAAUGCUUCAGCUAACUUCUGAUUCUGACUUAAAUGCUAAUGUUUUGAAUGCUAUUGAUUUUCUUGAAAAGAAAUAUACUCCACAAGGCACAUAUGCAAAGUACAAUUUAGAUGCCUACAAGCACAUGCCAGUGCACACAUUGAAUGUAGUGCACUGGCAUUCUGGUGCAGGAAACUCUGUGAUCAAAUUACAUGAGUUGAGUGAGUUGCCAAAAAUGAGUGGUAGAUCCCUGAAUUCAGUUGGAGCGUCUGGGAUUAUUGUGAAAGAAAAAUUUACAGCACCCUUAAGGUGUGUUGGGGAUAACCAACAGUCAUUCACAUUUUCUUUUCUGCUAUCUGAAUGCUGCCUGAUUAAUUUGAUGGGCAGGGAUUUGGUUUGCAAAUGGGGAAUAAACCUAAUUAGCCUCCAAAUGAAUUGAAAGUGUGUACAAGUCAAACAGGUGAAUUUCAAGGUGUUAAGUGGGACCCCAGACCUCUGUUGUAUGUGUAUGAGUGGGAACUCAGCACCUCUGCUGUGAAUUCAGUGAAUCAAGGUCUCAUAGAUAAGGCCCGUGAUGUUACUAACCCUACACGCACACAAUACAUGGACACACAUUAUCUGCACUGCACAGCUCACACACACAUAAGGGAAUAGAUGCACAUUAUGAACAAGAAGGUUUGAGAACCACAAACAUAGCAGAUGUGUUAUUGUUGAAGAAUAUGUAUUGGGAUAAUUACAGAUGUUCUGUAGAAGUGAGUCUUUGUAAAAUACAUGUAAGGCCAGGGAAGACACGUCCAUUCACUAUGGAAAAUUUCUGAGUCUCUAAGAUUUAGGAAAGUGGACACUAAAAUGUCUGAAAACUGGUGAUUGGAAACCCAGUUCAGAUCCCACAGUGUUGUACAGUGAGAAAACUAAAGCCUAUUGCAUGCCUUUGAAUUGGAUAGCUUUUGCUGACAGAAUAGUUGAGAUAAUGCCACAGGCAGACACAAAUAAAUCUGAAAGCAAUGUGGCAGUUACCACAUAUUUCUGUAGAUGAUCCUCAUUAAAACGUAGUUCUUAAGGAACUCUGAGAAAACAUGAUGUGGGUCUAAAUAAGAAUUGUGCACCAGUGCAAGUAAACCCCAGAUUUGAUUACAGGCCUUGUAAAUUGCGGUAACCUUAAUUUUGGUUUCUGUUAUAUAUUAAUGAAAAAUCACAUUGUGAAUCUACAACCAUUUAUAAUGAAGCUUGAAUUCCUGCGACAGCUGAUAUCAGAACAAGGUAAAAGUAUAGAAGAAAACAAGAGUUGCAGAUAUACAAAACAAUCCAAAGCCUAAAAUAAAGAAACAACUAAUGUCAUUUUAGGCAAGCGUUCUUAUUGCAGAACCUUUAUACAUAAUUAUGCAAUCCUCGAGGCUCCCUUAAGUGCAAUGGCUCAUGGGAAGGGUCUACAGGCCCACAGUGCACUUAGUAGGACAUCUGAAAUGACACCCAUAUGAGGAUGAGGUUCCCCUUUGAGUCUGGUUCCUCUCAAGGUUUCUUCCUUUACCAAUUUAAGGGAGUUUUUCCUUGCCACUGCUGCCUGAGCCUCCUCAGACUUGCUCAUUGGGGAUAAAUACAUAUACAUACAUACAUGCGUACAUACACACUGUGAACUAUAUACAUUUUGAAUUUUUAUUAUAUUAAUUCUCUAUAUUACUCCUUAUGUUUACCUUCUGCUCUAGGUUUAUGUUCUGUAAAGCUGCUUUGAGACAAUGUCCAUUGUAAAAAGCGCUAUACAAAUAAACUGAUUGAAAAAGAAAUUGAAAAUUGAAAAAGAAAUUGAAAAAGAAAAGGCCUUUGUAAGAGUUGAAACUAGCCUUACAAUCCACACCCAGAUUAGAAAAACCAGGUCAAACUAAAUUGUUCAUGCAGGUAGUAGAUCUAUAUGUGUGAAAAAAAGGGGUGUAUGACAUCAGUAUUAUGGCAAAAUCAUGAAGGAAAAAUUAAGACCAGUAGACAAUUUUUUAACUAAACUGGAUCCAGUGGCAGUGGGACUGCCUUAGUAUUUAGGGUCUGUAGGAACAGCUGAAAAAGCAAUUAAUGCUUCAAUGUACAUCAAUGACAUUGUAGAAUACAGUGAAAUUACCCUAUAUGUCUACAGCACAAAGGCUGAGAUUUCACACUAUUUUACUUGAACUGCCAAAUGUUAAAGUAAAACACUGCACUGUACUAAACUCUGCAACUCCUCUUUCACAGAAGUUGGAGAACAUCACAACCGUGUAACCGUUGUAAAUUAAAUUUGCAUGUCUAAUUUGCAGGAGACACCAUCCAGACCUUGAACUGUUUGUAAAUGGAUCAGCCUUCAGAAACUAGAAAACAGGCCGUAGCUGUUUAAGAUAUGCAGCAGUCGUAGAAUAUGUAACAGUGAAAGCUUAAUCAUUAUCAGGAAACCUCUCUGAACAAGCAGCAGAGUUAAUGUCUCUAACAGAAACAUGUAAAUUAGCACAAGGCAAAAAUGUUUCCAUUUAUACAGAUAACAGAUAUGAUUUUGGCAUGUUGUGGAAACCUAAAGGUAUCCUUACUUAUUAGGUAAAUAAAUCAGGUACAAUGGCCGGAUUUCUGAUCUCGUGAAUGCAGUUCUAUGAACAAAAUCCUUUGCUAUAUGUCAAUUUGAAGCACAUACAAAGAUUCUAUUUCACAGGGUAAUGCCAAAGCGGAUGCAGCAGCAAAAAAAUUCCUUUAUGUAUAAAGAAGCUUUGUGUAUUUUGAAAAUAUGAACUCCCACAGUUGACCUUGAGGAUCUUCAGGCAUGUUGCACAGCAGAAGAAAAUGCAGCAAGGAGAAAAGCAGGAUGUGUGGUAAGAAAUGAUGUUUGGUACAGACCCAAUGACAAACCAUGCUUGCCAAAUAAAUUGUUUCCUUACUAUAAUAAGUUGACGCAUGAGUAAGACCAUGCAUCAAAAGGAGGGAGGUACAGCAGUAUCUCUAGAUAUCGGUAAACCAAAUAUUUUGUGAGCGAUGCUGUGUUGUUAUGCAACCUUGUCCUCUAUUCGUUCACAAAUUCAUAAGCAGGUGAAGGAAACACUGCCUAAGGUGACUGGGUGGUGGUGAAGGAUUUUGGGAGGAAAAGCUGGAGAAGCAGGAAGUGGCUUGGACCAUUUCAGGUACUUCUGACCAUGCAAACGGUGGUGAACGUCGCAGAGAGAGCGACGUGGAUUGACGUUAGCCAUUGUAAACGGGUUCCCGAGCCAAAGGAAAAACCAUCAAUCGACAACUGCUAAGAGGAAGGAGAAGGGGCAUCAGGGCACACGGUGACGUGCUAGUAACCUCUCCCGUGAGCUCCAACUGACUCUCUACGAUGCGUAAAGUGUCAGAGUCAGAAGAAAACAGAAGAAACACCGGUAUGGGACCUGCUUGCCAACACUGAGAAGAAGCAGCGUCAUCUGAAGGAGUAACAUCGACACAUGCGCACACAUGUUAAUGAGAUUAAUAAACUACGUGAAAGAGGUAAAUGUGACAUUUACGAUAGUUGACAACAGCAGAAGGCUGUACAGUAUUACACCCAGAUUCUCAUACACACACACAAGAUCUGACUCCUAGAGACGAUCAACAUAGACGAGUAAAAGCUUCUGUUAAGAUGAGCUUUUUUGACUAUUACCCUAGAGUCCUAGGGAUCAUUGGCAUCCUUAUGAUCUGCCUGUUAAUAGGGGGGAAUGCAGAAAAAACUCAGAGACUCAAAGACGCAGAGACGUGUCUGAUAAUGACUUUCCUCCGCCAGAACAUAUACUAAAAGGUAAACCGAGUAAAUUCUUUGAUUCCUUCUUCCCACAGUAUGGGAUGACUUGGGUACGGAAUCAACUAGGUCACACAUUAUCGGCUUGCCACGAAUGUUAACUCCACUAAUCGGGCAACCAAAGGUACACCACAAGAACUCAAAAUAGAAUGGCCUUAGAUAUUCUAUUAGCUAAAGAGGGAGGUGUAAGUGCCAUGAUCGGAGAUCAGUGUUGUACCUUCAUUCCCUUGAAUGAUGAUGACCAUGGGUCUAUCUCUGAUGCACUGCAUGAUAUGCACAAAGUGACAAACCAAAUAAAACGAGACGGACUUCUCCAUUCGACAAUGACUAUUUCUCUGAAUUUUGCUCAGAAACAGACAAAAUGUGAAUGCGGACAGUAGAGACUGUGACUUGUAGUGAAGUUACAACAAGAUCAAUGCUUAAUGCUUUGCCUUUGCAUAUUUUUGAUAUACGGGUCCUGUCCCCACAAAAACAGCAUAUUAUCCACUGAAGAUCGUGUAUUUUAUGAAGCAUUCAUGAGAACCCUACAGGGGAAAUGAUACGCUGAUGUGAGAUUGUACAUGAUUGAGCUUAGCUUAAGGCUUACAUGAUUGUACUCUAGCUGAUUAAUUGAUUAACAAUGUUGUGUAUUAAGUAGUUGUUUAACAAUACUGGUAUCUAUCAUUUAGAGUUUAGUUUUUGUUACAGAUUAAUGAUUAGUAAAAAUUUUGUGUAUUGUCCCAGGGACAAAAGGGGGGAAUAGUGGAAAUUUUCACUUUAGAGAUGUUCAUAAAAGCCUGUCCUUCUAUCCUUCUAUAUUUCUCAUGGCUGGUAGUUAUUGUGACUAGAGAUUGCAGUUGUUUUCCUAAAACAGCUUCCAGCAGAUCGUCCCCGUGGGACCUUGUUACAGUAGGUACAGAUUAGCUUGGUCAGAAGAUGAGCAGGCUUCUAAGUUUUCUUUGAGAUUUUUAAACUAUGCAAGAUAGCUGUUUCAAUCCCUGUUAGUACUGCUUCUUGUGAACAGAGUUUUUCUGCACUAAAGCUGGUGAAAUCUCAGGUCCACAAUGUCAGAUGGCAGAUUAAGCAAUUUAGGUGUGCUGAGUAUUGAGUCAAGGAGGGCAAAGGCCUUAAAUUUAGAUGAAUUUGCUAAUCUUUUUGCAAAAAAAAACACAAAAACCGUAGGAUACAGUUACUGUGACUGAUACUGUAUAUGUUAUGCAAAUGUAAAAAUAUAAUUAAAAUGCAAAUAGUUACUGUGACUGAUACUGAAAAUGUAAUGCAAAUGUAAAAAAUAAAAUGUUGUUGAAUGAUUAGAAACAUGGUAUUUUAAUGCUUGCAGUGAUACAACAAUAAGGGCUUAAUGUAACUUUCCCCUCUAACAGUACAACUGGCCCCAGCUUCCCAGACCAGUCUGUGUCAUCGAGUAGUAGUACCUCAACAACUGAAUGUCCUAAAAAGAAACUUAGGUCCAUGACAGGUGCCAAUAGCUAGUGCAGGUCCUGUGCUUCCUGCCUUGUGCUUAAUUUGUAAGAAAACGGUUAAGUACAUUACUGUGGCAGGCAAACAACAGAAGGCCCAUCUUUCACAGGCAGAAAUGUUGUGUGCAGGUGGGCACAAACACACACACACACACACACACGUUUUAACUUUAAAGUUUUAUGCUAUAUGCUGGAUACCAUGGCUAAAUUUAGAUUACAAUUACAUAACAAUUACUGUGACUGAUACUGAAAAUGUAAUGCAAAUGUAAAAAAUAAAAUGUUGUUGAAUGAUUAUAAA
Molecule: long non-coding RNA, 7608 nt
Organism: Tachysurus vachellii
Lineage: Eukaryota; Metazoa; Chordata; Actinopteri; Siluriformes; Bagridae
Exons: 3
Source: RefSeq, a predicted model, not a curated record